GUGCUUGCUUCGGCAGCACAUAUACUAACACUGGAAUGAUACAGAAGAGAUUAGCAUGGCCCCUGUGCAAGGAUGACACGCAAACUCGUGAAGCGUUCCAUAUUUUU
RNAcentral lists this small nuclear RNA (107 nucleotides) under Physeter macrocephalus (sperm whale). The record is from RNAcentral. Lineage: Eukaryota; Metazoa; Chordata; Mammalia; Artiodactyla; Physeteridae.